Molecule: RNA transcript, 2147 nt
Organism: Panicum hallii
Lineage: Eukaryota; Viridiplantae; Streptophyta; Magnoliopsida; Poales; Poaceae
Gene name: bifunctional 3-dehydroquinate dehydratase/shikimate dehydrogenase, chloroplastic-like
Exons: 11
Source: RefSeq, a predicted model, not a curated record
AUGGCCACGGCGAUGUCGGUGUCGGCGGUGUCCCCGGCCGCCACCGCCGUCGCGCGCCCGCGGACGCUCGUCUGCGUGCCGGCGACGGCGCGGGCUCCACGCGAGAUGGCGGCGGAGCUGGCCGCCGCCGCCGCGCUCGGCGCCGACGUCGCGGAGCUCCGCCUCGACCUCCUCGCCGGCUUCGCGCCGCGCAGGGACCUGCCCAUCAUCCUCGCCGAGCCGCGCCCGCUCCCCGCGCUCGUCACCUACAGGCCCAAAUGGGAAGGUGGUGAAUACGAAGGCGACGAUGAGCGAAGGCUGGAGGCGCUAAUGCUGGCAAUGGAGCUGGGAGCUGAAUACGUUGAUAUUGAGCUCAAGGCUGCCGACAAAUUUAUGAGACUUUUGUCUGGGAAGAAACCUGAAAAUUGUAAGCUCAUUGUUUCAUCCCAUAACUAUGAGAAUACUCCAUCAGCAGAGGAGCUUGCAGAUUUGGUGGCUCAGAUACAAGCAACCGGGGCUGAUAUAGUGAAAAUUGCAACCACUGCCACUGAAAUUGUUGAUGUGGCAAGAAUGUUUCAAAUACUUGCACAUUGCCAAGAAAAGCAGGUGCCAAUCAUUGGGCUGGUAAUGAAUGAGAGAGGUUUUAUUUCUCGAGUUCUUUGCCCAAAAUAUGGUGCAUACCUUACUUUUGGGUCUCUCGAAAAAGGAAGAGAAUCCGCACCUGCACAACCAACAGCAGCAGACUUGAUUAAUUUGUACAAUAUCAGGCAAAUAGGCCCAGACACUAAGGUCUUUGGUAUUAUUGGGAAGCCAGUUGGUCACAGUAAGAGCCCAAUUUUGCAUAACGAAGCUUUCAGAUCUGUGGGCUUCAAUGCUGUGUAUGUGCCCUUUUUGGUGGAUGACUUGGCUAAAUUUCUUAAUACAUACUCUUCACCAGACUUUGCUGGCUUCAGUUGCACAAUUCCCCAUAAGGAAGCUGCAGUUAGGUGCUGUGAUGAAGUUGAUCCUAUUGCCAGGGACAUUGGAGCUGUUAAUACAAUGGUGAGAAGACCUGAUGGAAAACUUGUUGGCUAUAAUACUGACUAUGUCGGUGCUAUUUCUGCUAUUGAGGAUGGAAUAAGAGCAUCUCAACAAACAGAUCCAACCACUUCCCCACUGGCUGGAAGACUUUUUGUUGUUAUCGGGGCUGGUGGUGCGGGCAAAGCCCUAGCAUAUGGUGCAAAAGAGAAGGGAGCAAGAGUUGUAAUUGCAAACCGUACUUUUGCACGUGCUCAAGAACUUGGCAACUUAAUUGGCGGACCUGCAUUGACUCUGGCGGAUUUGGAAAAUUACCAUCCAGAGGAAGGGAUGAUUCUUGCAAAUACAACAGCCAUUGGAAUGCAUCCAAAUGUCAAUGAAACUCCUUUAUCUAAGCAAGCACUUAAAUCCUAUGCUGUUGUCUUUGAUGCGGUCUACACACCAAAAGAGACCAGACUUCUCCGUGAAGCUGCUGAAUGUGGAGCCACAGUUGUUAGCGGUCUGGAGAUGUUUAUAAGACAAGCAAUGGGUCAAUUUGAGCAUUUCACGGGCAUGCCAGCUCCAGAUAGGUUGAUGCGUGAUAUUGUUCUGACAAAGACAUAGUAAGGUUUGUCCAAGGAGCAACCUUCCCUUCCAUCUAAAUUUUCUGCAAGAUUGGGUGUGUGUGUUGCCAUGAGUCCUUGUUCCUGUCAUCAAGGUUGAAGAACCUGUUUAAUCUUUGGUUGACAAUGAAAACUUCCAAGCAAUUACAAGUUCGCUGGACAACCCUAAUACCAUGAAGCCUCGUCUGUGAGCGAUUCAUCCAUACUUCUGUGGCCCUUCAAUUUUUUUUUGGUUCAUUUCUAUAUUUGGAUUAAACAGGCAGUUAGCCGUUGGGCCGAUGUAAAUCAGAUGUUCCGGACUGAAACAUUUGUGUGUGUGUGUAGAAAAAUAUAUGAUGCAGUCAGUGUUUCAAGGGGGUAACCUAGGAGGUGUCCGGACAGACCCAGCUCGCCUUGGGCAUCAGUCAUGCCUUGUCGCCUAGGCGUCCAGGUGUACCCAGGUUGCCUUGGGUCGCCUUGUCGCCUUUAAAACACUGGAUGCAGUAAUGGAAAACAAGCUUCUUCCAUUGCACCCAUCAGAAUAGCAGCAGAUUUGAUUCUUCCCUUUCA